This 81-nucleotide transfer RNA is filed under the name Phaeobacter phage MD18. It matches the Rfam family "tRNA". From Rfam's summary of the family: Transfer RNA (tRNA) molecules are approximately 80 nucleotides in length. Their secondary structure includes four short double-helical elements and three loops (D, anti-codon, and T loops). Further hydrogen bonds mediate the characteristic L-shaped molecular structure. tRNAs have two regions of fundamental functional importance: the anti-codon, which is responsible for specific mRNA codon recognition, and the 3' end, to which the tRNAs corresponding amino acid is attached (by aminoacyl-tRNA synthetases). tRNAs cope with the degeneracy of the genetic code in two manners: having more than one tRNA (with a specific anti-codon) for a particular amino acid; and 'wobble' base-pairing, i.e. permitting non-standard base-pairing at the 3rd anti-codon position. The record is from Rfam by way of RNAcentral. Lineage: Duplodnaviria; Heunggongvirae; Uroviricota; Caudoviricetes.
GCCAGUGUGGCGGAAUGGUAUACGCAGCGUCUUGAGAGGGCGUGGUCUUACGACAUGAGGGUUCGACUCCCUCCACUGGCA